AUUGAACGCUGGCGGAAUGCUUUACACAUGCAAGUCGAACGGCAGCACGGACUUCGGUCUGGUGGCGAGUGGCGAACGGGUGAGUAAUGUAUCGGAACGUGCCCAGUCGUGGGGGAUAACGUAGUGAAAAUUACGCUAAUACCGCAUACGAUCGAUGGAUGAAAGCGGGGGAUCGCAAGACCUCGAGCGAUUGGAGCGGCCGAUAACAGAUUAGGUAGUUGGUGGGGUAAAGGCCCACCAAGCCAACGAUCUGUAGCUGGUCUGAGAGGACGACCAGCCACACUGGAACUGAGACACGGUCCAGACUCCUACGGGAGGCAGCAGUGGGGAAUUUUGGACAAUGGGCGAAAGCCUGAUCCAGCCAUUCCGCGUGCAGGAUGAAGGCCCUCGGGUUGUAAACUGCUUUUGUAUAGAACGAAAAGGUUUCUACUAAUACUAGGAGCUCAUGACGGUACUGUAAGAAUAAGCACCGGCUAACUCCGUGCCAGCAGCCGCCGCUG
RNAcentral lists this ribosomal RNA (500 nucleotides) under uncultured bacterium. Its description in RNAcentral is "partial 16S ribosomal RNA". It matches the Rfam family "Bacterial small subunit ribosomal RNA", at positions 30 to 523 of the family's 1533-position model. The record is from RNAcentral.